Molecule: non-coding RNA, 808 nt
Organism: Podarcis lilfordi (Lilford's wall lizard)
Lineage: Eukaryota; Metazoa; Chordata; Lepidosauria; Squamata; Lacertidae
Source: the annotation of a GenBank genome assembly
UUUGUUAAGGGUGCUGAGAGUUGUUAGGAGAGCUCCAUUUCCCUCACAGAGCUACAAUUCCCAGAGUUCCCUGGGAACUAAAAGCCACUCCUGGCAACUCUCAGCAUCCUUAACAAACUGCAGAUUCCAGGAUACUUUGUGGGAUGAAUCCUGAUACUGCAUUAAAUGUACAGUACAGAUUGGGGGGGGGGGCAGGGCUAUGAUUCUACUUAAAAGGCUCACUGCUUAUGAACAUCAUGUGAACAAGGGGGUGAAGACAUCAUCCCUCGGCCAAAAAUCAAGAUGAAAUACAAAUCAGUAAAUACUUCAAGACAAAUGGUGAGUUAACUGUAAUUGACGACACCGAUAAUCUCUUUUUUAUAUUCAUUUAAAAACUCCUUGGAGAUCUAGGCAGAGGUUAAAACAAUGAAGCCAUUUUGAAAUCCCUCACAGUAUGUUUAGGUGCAAAUACCACCGGACAAAGGAAAGCGUCUUGCAAUAUGAUAUUGUGGUGGUAAAAAGCAGCAUAUGCUAUGAGCAUAUGCUACUUUUAACUGCUGAUUAAUGCAGGGAAUUCACUGCAAUAAGAUGACCACAUAAAAAAAGAAUGAAUACUGUAUAUUCAUGGAAGAGGAUUCUGUCAGUUUCUAUUUUCCUUCAUUUGUUCAGGCAGGGCAAUUUUGUAAAAGUGGAACCACAAAUUACCUCAGCAAAUGGCAUGUUUCAAAACCUGAGUUCACAGGCUUCCCAAAUGCAAAGCCAGAGGAGGAAGAGGACAUUUUUAAGCCUGAGGUGGAAUAGAAAAUGGCAUUCCUUUCUUCAACUCAAG